Molecule: ribosomal RNA, 698 nt
Filed under: Halobacillus litoralis
Lineage: Bacteria; Bacillati; Bacillota; Bacilli; Caryophanales; Bacillaceae
Description: bacterial SSU rRNA
Rfam family: Bacterial small subunit ribosomal RNA
Source: RNAcentral
GCGCUGAGCGAAGGCUGAGCUCGGUAUCCCUUCGGGGUGAAGCUCGUGGAACGAGCGGCGGACGGGUGAGUAACACGUGGGCAACCUGCCUGUAAGACCGGAAUAACCCCGGGAAACCGGGGCUAAUGCCGGGUAAUACUUUUCUUCGCAUGAAGGAAAGUUGAAAGAUGGCUUCUUGCUAUCACUUACAGAUGGGCCCGCGGCGCAUUAGCUAGUUGGUGAGGUAACGGCUCACCAAGGCGACGAUGCGUAGCCGACCUGAGAGGGUGAUCGGCCACACUGGGACUGAGACACGGCCCAGACUCCUACGGGAGGCAGCAGUAGGGAAUCUUCCGCAAUGGACGAAAGUCUGACGGAGCAACGCCGCGUGAACGAUGAAGGUCUUCGGAUCGUAAAGUUCUGUUGUUAGGGAAGAACAAGUACCGUGCGAAUAGAGCGGUACCUUGACGGUACCUAACGAGGAAGCCCCGGCUAACUACGUGCCAGCACCGCGGUAAUACGUAGGGGGCAAGCGUUGUCCGGAAUUAUUGGGCGUAAAGCGCGGCAGGCGGUUCCUUAAGUCUGAUGUGAAAGCCCACGGCUCAACCGUGGAGGGUCAUUGGAAACUGGGGAACUUGAGGACAGAAGAGGAGAGUGGAAUUCCACGUGUAGCGGUGAAAUGCGUAGAUAUGUGGAGGAACACCAGUGGCGAAGGCGAC